GGACGCAGAAGGAGAGCACGAGCCGGAAAUGGAAAAGCCGGUACAAGCGUAUAGCAGUCAUGCAGGCAAAACCGCAUGAAAAAUGUAAAGCGUUAUGUGGAUCGAACAUUAGUAGAGAAGCGUGUGAGCCAGCUGCCAAGAAAAGCCGCUAUUGCUUCAUAAGUACCCGUACCGUAAACCGACACAGGUGGAUGAGGAGAGAAUCCUAAGGCCGGCGGGAGAAGUGUUGUUAAGGAACUCGGCAAAAUGACUCCGUAACUUCGGGAGAAGGAGUGCCACAGAGAUGUGGCCGCAGAGAAAUGGCCCAAGCAACUGUUUAGCAAAAACACAGGUCUAUGCAAAACCGAAAGGUGAGGUAUAUGGGCUGACGCCUGCCCUGUGCUGGAAGGUUAAGAGGAGAGGUUAGAGCAAUCGAAGCUUUGAAUUUAAGCCCCAGUAAACGGCGGCCGUAACUAUAACGGUCCUAAGGUAGCGAAAUUCCUUGUCGGGUAAGUUCCGACCCGCACGAAAGGCGUAAUGAUUUGGGCACUGUCUCAACAACACACCCGGUGAAAUUGAAAUACCAGUGAAGAUGCUGGUUACCUGCGCCAGGACGGAAAGACCCCGUGGAGCUUUACUCCAGUUUGAUACUGGGAUUCGGUACUGUCUGUACAGGAUAGGUGGGAGGCUAGGAAAUGGUGACGCCAGUUGCCAUGGAGCCAACCUUGGGAUACCACCCUUACAGUACUGGGUUUCUAACCUGCAGCCGUAACCCGGCUGGGGGACAAUGUCUGACGGGGAGUUUGACUGGGGCGGUCGCCUCCGAAAGAGUAUCGGAGGCGCUCAAAGGUUCCCUCAGAACGGUUGGAAACCAUUCGAAGAGUGCAAAGGCAGAAGGGAGCUUGACUGCGACACCGACGGGUGGAGCAGAUACGAAAGUAGGACUUAGUGAUCCGGUGGUAUAAAGUGGGAUUGCCAUCGCUCAACGGAUAAAAGCUACCCUGGAUAACAGGCUUAUCACUCCCAAGAGUUCACAUCGACGGAGUGGUUUGGCACCUUGAUGUCGGCUCAUCGCAUCCUGGAGCUGUAGCAGGUUCCAAGGGUUGGGCUGUUCGCCCAUUAAAGCGGUACGCGAGCUGGGUUCAGAACGUCGUGAGACAGUUCGGUCCCUAUCCGGCGUGGGCGUAGGAUAUUUGAGAGGAGCUGUCCUUAGUACGAGAGGACCGGGAUGGACAAACCUCUGGUGUAUCUGUUGUUUUACCAAAGGCAUGGCAGAGUAGCCAAGUUUGGCAGGGAUAAACGCUGAAGGCAUCUAAGCGUGAAGCCCCCCUCAAGAUAAGAUAUCCCAUCUUCGGAGUAAGACCCCUUGAAGACUACAAGGUUGAUAGGCUUUGUGUGUAAGUGCGGUAACGCACUCAGCUGAGAAGUACUAAUAGGUCGAGGACUUAUC
Molecule: ribosomal RNA, 1429 nt
Filed under: metagenome
Description: bacterial LSU rRNA
Rfam family: Bacterial large subunit ribosomal RNA
Source: RNAcentral